UACCAUGGCAGUAACGGGUAACGAAGAAUUAGGGUUCGAUUUCGGAGAGGGAGCAUGAGAAACGGCUACCACAUCUAAGGAAGGCAGCAGGCGCGUAAAUUACCCAAUCCUGACUCAGGGAGGUAGUGACAAGAAAUAGCAAACCGGGAACCUCAUGGUUUCACGGUAAUGCAAUGACAACAAUUUAAAACCCUUAGCGAGAAUCAAGUGGAGGACAAGUCUGGUGCCAGCACCCGCGGUAAUUCCAGCUCCACUAGCGUAUAUUAAAGUUGUUGCAGUUAAAAAGCUCGUAGUUGAACCUCUGUCUGGGGCUAGUUUUGGCUUUGGUCAGGCUAGUUCUAGGCAUCCGCCUACAAGACUUAGAGGGCAUUCAGUUGUUCACUAGGAGGAGUAGGCAUUUUACUUUGAAAAAAUUAGAGUGUUUAAGGCAGGCAAUCGCCCGCAUAUAUUAGCAUGGAAUAAUAGAAUAGGACACUUUUCCAUUUCGUUGGUUAUUGGAAUCGUGUAAUGAUUAAUAGGGACAGUUGUGGGCAUUUGUAUUUAAUUGUCAGAGGUGAAAUUCUUGGAUUUAUUAAAGACAAACUAACGCGAAAGCAUUUGCCAAGGAUGUUUUCAUUAAUCAAGAACGAAAGUUAGAGGAUCAAAGACGAUCAGAUACCGUCCUAGUCUUAACUAUAAACUAUUCCGACUCAAUGUUUGACUGGCUUAUAUAACCAGUUGAGCGUUGUAUGAGAAAUCAAAGUCUUUAGGUUCUGGGGGGAGUAUGGUUGCAAAGCUGAAACUUAAAGGAAUUGACGGAAGAGCACAACCAGGAGUGGAUUCUGCGGCUUAAUUUGACUCAACACGGGGAAACUUACCAGGUUAAAACAAUAGUGGGAUUGACAGUUUGAGAGCGCUUUCUUGAUUGGUUGGGUGGUGGUGCAUGGCCGUUCUUAGUUGGUGGAGUGAUUUGUCUGCUUAAUUGCGUUAACGAACGAGACCUUAACCUGCUUACUAGACUGGCGAUCAUCAAUCGUUAGCUCUUCUUAGAGGGACUUUGGUUGUUUUAACUCCAAGGAAGUUUGAGGCAAUAACAGGUCUGUGAUGCCCUUAGAUAUCCUGGGCCGCACGCGUCAUACAAUGACUAGUUCAGAAAGUUUUCUCCUGACCCGAAAGGGGAUGGGUAAUCUUGAUAAUACUAGUCGUGUUAGGGAUCGAUCUUUGCAAUUAUAGAUCUUGAACGAGGAAUUCCUAGUAAGUGCGGUUCAUCAGACCGUACUGAUUACGUCCCUGCUCUUUGUACACACCGCCCGUCGCUUCUACCGAGUGGGUGGUCCGGU
RNAcentral lists this ribosomal RNA (1319 nucleotides) under metagenome. RNAcentral's name for it is "SSU rRNA". It matches the Rfam family "Eukaryotic small subunit ribosomal RNA", at positions 342 to 1702 of the family's 1831-position model. The record is from RNAcentral.